Molecule: non-coding RNA, 579 nt
Organism: Cinara cedri
Lineage: Eukaryota; Metazoa; Arthropoda; Insecta; Hemiptera; Aphididae
Source: the annotation of a GenBank genome assembly
UUGUAUGAAAAUAAAAUUGUUCAGAUAUACAGGUCUAUAUUAUACUGUAUAAGAUAUUUAUUAAUAAAUGUUUUCUUAAUUAUUCAGCAGUACAAUAUUGCUUACCAACUAUACAGUCAAAAAAAUAAUUCUUAUUUAUGGAUUUUAUCUACCUUUUAUCCUUCACCCCACACACAAUUGUGGUCAAAUAUUUUUGUUCUUUACAUUUCACUAUCAAUUGCAAUUUCUCCAUCUACUCCACAUGUUCUAAAAUAUCUUUUAAUGACCUCUAGUUAAUUUUUCUUGAUCAUCUCAUGACAUUUCUUUCUUUUAACAUGUCUAAACCAUCUCAAUAAAUUUUCUCUCAUUUUUCCUGCAAUAUAGACUACUCCAUAAUUACCUACUAAUUCUAUUUUCUAUUCAAUAACACUCAUCCUAUAGCAUAGAUGUAUUGAUUACUUUUUGUUUUAUCUAAUAUUAAAUUAAUUUUAUUACCUAACCUAUUCUAUAUUUGGUUUUAAACCUAUAAAAUGUAUUUAUACAGAGUUCCCCCAUGUAAAUACAGAUUCAUUGUAAUAUCUCCUGAUAUAAUAAAGAAAA